UCGGGAAUUUUGGGCAAUGGGCGAAAGCCUGACCCAGCAACGCCGCGUGAAGGAUGAAGUAUUUCGGUAUGUAAACUUCGUAAGAAUAGGAAGAAUAAAUGACGGUACUAUUUGUAAGGUCCGGCUAACUACGUGCCAGCAGCCGCGGUAAUACGUAGGUGGCAAGCGUUGUCCGGAUUUAUUGGGUUUAAAGGGUGCGUAGGCGGCCCUGUAAGUCAGUGCUGAAAUAUCCCGGCUUAACCGGGAGGGUGGCAUUGAUACUGCAGGGCUUGAGUACAGAUGAAGUAGGCGGAAUUGACGGUGUAGCGGUGAAAUGCAUAGAUAUCGUCAAGAACACCGAUAGCGAAGGCAGCUUACUAAGCUGUAACUGACGCUGAGGCACGAAAGUGUGGGGAUCAAACAGGAUUAGAUACCCCCGUAGUCCCUGAGCGGGCUGGCAAGGCGCAU
This 447-nucleotide ribosomal RNA is filed under the name uncultured bacterium. Its description in RNAcentral is "bacterial SSU rRNA". It matches the Rfam family "Bacterial small subunit ribosomal RNA", at positions 355 to 825 of the family's 1533-position model. The record is from RNAcentral.